Non-coding RNA from Ictidomys tridecemlineatus (thirteen-lined ground squirrel), 436 nucleotides. NCBI's taxonomy places the organism in Eukaryota, Metazoa, Chordata, Mammalia, Rodentia, Sciuridae. The record is from RefSeq and is a predicted model, not a curated record.
CAGAAAGGAUAAGAUCUCAUUUUUUUUUGUUUUAGGUGUUGAGAGGGCAUUAAUAAGAUUUUUCCUGUCUGUAGUAAUGGCCUUUUUUCCUUGUGGUAAGGAAAAGCCGAGGUAUGUGACCUCAGGUGAGCAAAGUUGGGCCUUCUGGGGAGAAGCACGAUACCCCCGACUGGCCAAAUGAUUCAGGAGACCAACAGUAUCAGCGUUUGAGGCCUCCAAAGAGGAGUUACAAAGGAGUAGGUCAUCUACAUAUUGGAGAAGAGUAGAGGUGGAACAGACAAGAAGGUUUGAAAUGUUGGAUUGUCAUUUGAAGCUUGCAAAAUUAUGGCUUCAGCUAUCUGGUCUGAGACACAACAGUAAAGAAGAGAUAACCUCAAACUUUGUAGACCUUUACUGUAGAGUGUGGUAGAGAAAAGAAAUAUAAAAUAGCCCAACC